GAUGAACGCUGGCGGCGUGCUUAACACAUGCAAGUCGAACGGAAAGGCACAAGCUUGCUUGGGUACUCGAGUGGCGAACGGGUGAGUAACACGUGGGUGAUCUGCCCUGCACUUCGGGAUAAGCCUGGGAAACUGGGUCUACUACCAGAUAGGAUCACAUCGUCGUUGUUGUGGAGGAAAGUUUUUUAGCUGUGGGAUGGGCUCGCGGCCGAUCAGCUUGUUGGUGGGGUAAUGGCCUACCAAGGCGUCGACGGGUAGCCGGCCUGAGAGGGUGUACGGCCACAUUGGGACUGGGAGCCGGCGCGGGCUCCUACGGGCGGCAGGAGUGGGGAAUAUUGCACAAUGGGGGGAAGCCGGAUGCAGCGACGCCGCGUGGAGGAUGUCGGCCUUCGGGUGGUAAGCUCCUGUCGCCAAAGACGAAUUUCUGACGGUAUUUGGAGAAGAAGCACCGGCUAACUACGUG
Molecule: ribosomal RNA, 463 nt
Filed under: uncultured bacterium
Lineage: Bacteria
Description: partial 16S ribosomal RNA
Rfam family: Bacterial small subunit ribosomal RNA
Source: RNAcentral